RNAcentral lists this ribosomal RNA (886 nucleotides) under Enterococcus faecium. RNAcentral describes it as "partial 23S ribosomal RNA". It matches the Rfam family "Bacterial large subunit ribosomal RNA", at positions 154 to 1041 of the family's 2925-position model. Lineage: Bacteria; Bacillati; Bacillota; Bacilli; Lactobacillales; Enterococcaceae. The record is from RNAcentral.
UUGUGUGAAUACAUAGCACAUUCGAGGUAGACGCAGAGAACUGAAACAUCUAAGUACCUGCAGGAAGAGAAAGAAAAUUCGAUUCCCUGAGUAGCGGCGAGCGAAACGGGAAAAGCCCAAACCAGCAAGCUUGCUUGUUGGGGUUGUAGGACUCCAAUAUGGUAGUUCUUUCAGAUAGUCGAAUGACUUGGAAAAGUCAGUCAAAGAGGGUAAAAACCCCGUAGACGAAAUGUGGAAGACACCUAGGAGGAUCCUGAGUACGGCGGAACACGAGAAAUUCCGUCGGAAUCCGGGAGGACCAUCUCCCAAGGCUAAAUACUCCCUAGUGACCGAUAGUGAACCAGUACCGUGAGGGAAAGGUGAAAAGCACCCCGGAAGGGGAGUGAAAUAGAACCUGAAACCGUGUGCCUACAACAAGUCAAAGCCCGUUAAUGGGUGAUGGCGUGCCUUUUGUAGAAUGAACCGGCGAGUUACGAUUGCAUGCGAGGUUAAGUUGAAGAGACGGAGCCGCAGCGAAAGCGAGUCUGAAUAGGGCGUUUGAGUAUGUAGUCGUAGACCCGAAACCAUGUGAUCUACCCAUGUCCAGGUUGAAGGUGCGGUAAAACGCACUGGAGGACCGAACCCACGUACGUUGAAAAGUGCGGGGAUGAGGUGUGGGUAGCGGAGAAAUUCCAAACGAACUUGGAGAUAGCUGGUUCUCUCCGAAAUAGCUUUAGGGCUAGCCUCGGAAUUGAGAAUGAUGGAGGUAGAGCACUGUUUGGACUAGGGGCCCAUCUCGGGUUACCGAAUUCAGAUAAACUCCGAAUGCCAUUCAUUCAUAUCCGGGAGUCAGACUGUGAGUGAUAAGAUCCAUAGUCGAAAGGGAAACAGCCCAGACCACCAGCUA